ACACUACUGACGCUGUCUAUGUCAGUCAUAAGACUCUCGUCCGUGUCCAAUGUGUGAAAUCCGCACUCAGUCGCCUUGUCUGUUAUCAAAAGCAACCAAUGAGCCGCGGUGAAUAGGCAUAAUGCGACUCGGAACGGGUGGCUCCCCCGCGAGGUUAAUCGAUUUCGGCAAGUGUUUCUACCUGACUAACCUCUCCCCAGUCUCGAAUUAGUGAAGAGCCGGCGUAUGGACAUUUUUCCAGCAAACUUGCUAGCUUCAGUCAGCUGAGUGUCAUUUGUGUUCCUUGUAAAAAAAUAAAAAUAAAGAAAAAUCUCUGUUGCUGGGAAACAGUUGCUGUAGACAGUAGAGAACAGAAGGAGAAAAGGACAAAUGGAGAUCUCAAACAUUGACAGUGUCAUUACUCCCAGGCCCAUAUUGUUUUGGCUGAUGUUGGGGAGAGUGGAGACAUAAUCCAUCAGCCCCUGAGACAGCUCUCCUGCCAGCAGCCCCUCCUGCCGUCUGGUGGAUGGCUGAGCUUUGACUCACCAGGGUGAACAGUCAGAGGACUAAAAUAGACCAGGGGUAAAACACAGCCUGUGACAGACCGUCGGGUUACAUGUUAGAUGACAAAACACAAUGUCUUACACCUGUCAGAAAACCCUUCAGGUCUGGUCUAGAUUCUGUACUGGGACACCUGGGUUGGAGAUUAAAUGUAUACAUCACAAGAAAAACAUUUAUAAAACUGUGUUGAAUAUUGGUUGUGCCAAUUCCAAAUAGUUUACUAUACGAAGAACAGGGUGAUAUUUGACCAAGAUCUUAUUAAAAUUUAUAUUUUUAACUCUU
Long non-coding RNA from Esox lucius (northern pike), 822 nucleotides. RefSeq lists it as uncharacterized. The record is from RefSeq and is a predicted model, not a curated record. NCBI's taxonomy places the organism in Eukaryota, Metazoa, Chordata, Actinopteri, Esociformes, Esocidae. The transcript has 3 exons.